UAACGUCCCAGUUCGGAUUGUAGUCUGCAACCCGACUACAUGAAGCUGGAAUCGCUAGUAAUCGCGGAUCAGAAUGCCGCGGUGAAUACGUUCCCGGGUCUUGUACACACCGCCCGUCACACCAUGGGAGUCGGAAAUGCCCGAAGUCAGUGACCCAACCGUAAGGAGGGAGCUGCCGAAGGUGGAGCCGGUAACUGGGGUGAAGUCGUAACAAGGUACC
RNAcentral lists this ribosomal RNA (220 nucleotides) under uncultured bacterium. RNAcentral describes it as "partial 16S ribosomal RNA". It matches the Rfam family "Bacterial small subunit ribosomal RNA", at positions 1281 to 1500 of the family's 1533-position model. The record is from RNAcentral.